Molecule: long non-coding RNA, 212 nt
Filed under: Homo sapiens (human)
Lineage: Eukaryota; Metazoa; Chordata; Mammalia; Primates; Hominidae
Description: HSALNT0325805
Source: RNAcentral
GUAGGGCUCCUGCACGCUCAGAGUGGCCUUGGCCAGGAAGUCCAGGGUUUCCGCAGGCAGAGUGUAUGAACAAGGUACUGAGAAGAUCACAUACUGCAUGUCCUCCUAAAACCUGGUCCUGGCAUAACCUUCUAAGCUGUUUUAUUCAGGUGUUUAUGGAUUUUGUAUUUGCCCAUGUUUAAUGAGCUUUACAACACUUCCAUCAGAGAACG